Molecule: long non-coding RNA, 11191 nt
Filed under: Lynx pardinus (Iberian lynx)
Lineage: Eukaryota; Metazoa; Chordata; Mammalia; Carnivora; Felidae
Source: RNAcentral
UUGGCAGCUUGCCGUUUUAUCGGUGUUGGAGGAGGAACCAAGUUGCCUGGCUGUGGAUGGUGCCGGGAGGCUCACCGGGCCUGCGGGAACGGAUGCAGGGAAGAUUCGAGAGUCGGGGAGAUUCCGUCUCCGUGCCCUGUGCACCCCUUGACCCCAGAGAAUGUCCUGACUACCCAAGCCCGGAUAUCCUUGGCAGUAGGGGGGGCGACCUCGCGGGGAUGUCUGCAAGGACCUCCUUUGGAGCCCGCCCGGGAGUCGUCGCCCUUGGCGUUGUGUCUGCUUUACAGAGCGGGGGACGGAGGCUCAAAGCCACGCGUUCCGAGGUCAUGACCAGCUUGUGGCUGGACUACGGGCGUGAUGAGUGAGCCGAUCAACUAGUCACGGCUGAAGGAUUCUUCCACCCGACCUGACUCGGAGUCCCAGUGUCCUGAGUCCCCGACUGAGCUACAGGCCUCGAUGUUCUGGAUGAUGGAGCGUUCGCAGGUGGGGAGUCUUCAUCCCAGAAUUCGGUAUGUUAAGAUGUAGAGGGUACAGACAGAGGGAUCUGCAUGUGCAAAGAUUCGGAGGUGAGACUGACCUGAGAACAUUCAGGAAAAUUCUCAUUCUUCCACUGCAUGAAGAGAGGAGUCCUGCCUCUAUUCAUUGGCUGAAUGUGCUGGGAGUCAUAGAAAUUUUUGAGUAGAAGCGGGAUAUCCAUUGUCUGGAUUUAGGAUUUUGAAAGUAUCCCAAUGAAUACCAAGUAAACAUACUGAGUGAACACACCGGUGGGAGAGGGGUUGUGAGGAUGCUGCUGCAAUAUUCUUCCAGACAGUUAUGAUGAUGGCCUGUCCAGGGUAGAAGUAGGAGAGGUGAGAGAAGUGAUCAGAUUUCGGUUAGAUUUUCAAGAUGAAGUUAACGGGAUUUCCUGCUACGUGUGACGAGUGAACGUAAGUGGUGGAUAAAAGACCAUCCCGAGUGUUUAGGAAGAAUGAGAUAUUGUACAUGGAGAUGGGAGUUUGGCAAGAGGAGGAUAUUUUGGGGAAGAUUAGCAGUUGGAUUUUGUAGAUGUGGACUUCUAAGUGGAAGUGACUACGUGCCAUGGACACAUAGGGAGUUUUGGUUUGGCCUCCGAUCUCCAGGUUGCAGUUCACUGGUGGCCUGGACCAAGGAAGGGCCUGAGAAUGGCAUUUUGGAAGGAGAGUCUUAGGUUGUGGUUGCAGAUAAGUGGCCCUGAGGUGAGUGUGGGGUGUCCAGGAUAAGGACCAGUGGCCGGGUGGAGGAGAUGGGUGCAGAAAAGGAGAAGCACUGUCCAAAGACCAAUGGAUCCGGGGAGAGGGCACAUCCAGGAGGAGGGCCCACCCUUUCAGAUAUGAGAGGGUAAGCAGGCAUGUCAGGGGACAAGGUUGGGAGACAUAAAGGGAGGUGGCCGCAGGACAGAGACUGGGGUCCCAGGUCCCAUGCCCAGUGCUUAGGUUGCAUCCAUCUGCUCCCUGGCCUGCUAUAGCAAGGCCCAGUGACUUUUAAGAAGGUCACAUACUGCUUUCAGAAAAAGUGGGGCUCCUUCAUGAGACACAGUAGGGCUACUACCAUGACAUGGUGCUGUCCUCACCAGGUUAGGCCACUAUGUUCCCCAUGGGAUAUGCGGCUGGUCCUGGUGCUGGCCCAUGUCUUGAUACAUCUUCUCCCAGACUGCUGUAUAAACAACUCCAGUAUCUUUUAGGUCAAGGGUCAAAAGUAUCACAACUUGCAUAGCAGAUCACAUCCAGCUUGGUUAUUAUCUGGCCAAGUGACCCAGUCGAGGUGUGUUGCUUUUCUUUCUCCUCUGUCACACUUCCUCAUUCCAGCAGGUUUUCUGCCAGCUGCCCCUUGUCAGCCCCUGCGAUGGCGCAUGGACACAGACAUGAUCACUGAUUGUGGGGACAAUGCACCUUUCCCCUGAGAUCUUUCCUGGUUGUUCAUUUUGUGAGGUUCGGUCCUCCAGAUGCAUGAGUGAUCCUUAUCCACCUCAGUCUGUCAUGGGUGAAUCAUGACAGACCUGGGGCUGGCCUCCCACAAGCCACUUGACCCCUCAUGACUGCCUGCACUACCAUCAAUGUGGUCACCCAAGGUGAACAUGGCCAGGAGACCUGGACAGGGCAGCUUGAAUCAGUCCAUGACCAGAGAGGCCCAUGGAGGACCAGUUCUGGUCAGUGCAAGACUGGUAGGGGAGGGCCUGUGGCAGCGGGCUUGUUUCUCACCUGGUACCUGACCUGUGCCCUCUCUUACCCUGGUGCCAAAGUGAGUAGCCAUGCCUCUUUUCUGUCAUUCUGGAACUUCAUUCUACUUUCCCUUGACUCAUAUUUCCUGGCUGAUCCCUCUGUAUCCUUUUCCUCUCAGCCUUUCGCCUUCUCCCCUUUUAUGGUCAGAUCCUCCACCAUUGGCCUCCCCUUAACAUGUUCUGAGCUGAUACGUAUCCUCAAGUAGUUCUUGAAAGGGUGCCUGGGUAGCUCAGUCGGUUGAAUGUCCAACUCUUGAUUUCAGCCCAGGUCAUGAUCCGAGGGUCAUGGGAUCAAGCCCCCAUCCGGGUCCAUGCUGAGUGUGGAGCCUGCUUGAGAUAUUCAUUCUCUCUCUCUCUCUCUCAAAAAAUUUUUUAAGGAAAAAGAAAAUUUAUCUCUUCACGGGACUGCUUGCUUCCUCUAAGGAAGGUGGAUAUAAUGUCAGUGGCUGGACCACCCUCACUGCGUAGCACCUGCCUGUCACCAGACACUGAGGCCCUUUUGCAGAACUCACAGAGAACUGACACUGAAGAGACACCCAGUAAACACAUGGUAUAUGGAGAGGUGUUCAAUCAAUAAAAAAUACCAGAAUGGGGGGCGCCUGGGUGGCUCAGUCGAUGGAGCGGCCGACUACAGCUCAGGUCAUGAUCUCGCGGUUCAUGGGUUCAAGCCCCUACGUCAGGCUCUGUGCUGACAGCUCAGAGCCUGGAGCCUGCUUCAGAUUCUGUGUCUCCCUCUUUUUCUGCCCCGCUCCUACUCGCACUCUCUCUCUCAAAAAUAAGUAAAACAUUAAAAAAAAUUUUUUUUUAAUUUUCAGAAUGGGAAAAAAAUCCCAAGUACAUUGGGAAGAUGGGAAGGCCUUCACCUUUGUCUCCACUCUGAGAAAGCAGAAGUACAUUCAUGUCUUCAAAUGUCAUGAUUGUUGUAAUGUGAGAAAGCCUCCAGCCAGAGCUCUAUUCCUUUUGAGAAUGAGAAUGUUUGCCCCUUAGAAAACACUCAUUAAGGGGCGCCUGGGUGGCGCAGUCGGUUAAGCGUCCGACUUCAGCCAGGUCACGAUCUCGCGGUCCGUGAGGUCGAGCCCCGCGUCAGGCUCUGGGCUGAUGGCUCGGAGCCUGGAGCCUGUUUCCGAUUCUGUGUCUCCCUCUCUCUCUGCCCCUCCCCCGUUCAUGCUCUGUCUCUCUCUGUCCCAAAAAUAAAUAAACGUUGGAAAAAAAAAAUUAAAGAAAAAAAAAAAAGAAAGAAAACACUCAUUAAGGCAGGGAGUGUGGCCCAGCCUUGAGCAAACUUUUGCAUUUCCCCUUGCACCAAAGGAGUCAAGUGCCGAGAAUGUGGGCAUCUGCAUUCAGAGCUCUAUUCUUGUUAGCACCAAAAGAUUCAUGCCAGAGAACAGUUGUACAAAUACAGUAACCACCUGAAAGCUCUCAGGAAAAUUGAACCUCUUUCACACAGUCCCCACUGGAGAAAGGCAUAAGGAGUGCAGCUGGUGUUGGAUAGCCUCCUUGCCCAGAUUUAAUCAAGUUUUGCAGCAGCAAGUUACUGCAUUGUGAGUGUAGUGAGUAGGAGAGCAAAGCAGCUCCUGCUGGGUCCUGCAUAGAAAUAUUCACACUGGAGAAAGCUCCUGUGUGUACAGCUGGUAUGGGAGACUCAGCCACAGCUCCUGCCCACCAACCAGCACAAAACCUUCACUAGUGAAAAGCCAUUUUAGGAGCAGUGAAUUUAGUAAAGUCUUCAGCUGCCCCCGCCCCCCCCUUUUUUUUUUAGCAUUCUCUUUUAAAUGAUGUUUUAAAAACUUCAUUCAAUAUAAAAGAAUUAACACCUGAAAAAUACCGUAUACAAAUAGCCUUCAGCCACAAGUUGUACCUUGUAUAGAAGUUAUUUUUUUUUAAUUUUUUAACGCUUAUUUAUUUCUGAGAGGGGGGAGGGGCAGAGAGAGAGGGAGACAGAGGAUCCAAAGCAGACUCUGCGCCGUGAGCACAGAGUCUGAUGUGGGGCUCGAACCCACAACCAUGAGAUCAUGACCUGAGCUGAAAUCAAGAGUCGGCUGUUCAACCCACUGAUCCACCUGGCGCCCCAGAACUUCUACCUGCAGAGAUAACUCCACCAAUGCCCUGUAGGGGCCCCUAUAGGGGCCAUACUGUACUUUGUGACCAGCUGUCACACCGCUGGGUGCUAUGGAAAAUGUCCUUCUGUGUUUGAUGGUCAUCUAUUACUCAGUGUAAGCAGCCCCUGUUCCCUGCUUGCCCUCCUCUGGAGGGAUGGUGGUGGCCCUGCACCCAUUGAAGUGAUGUCCUACUGCUCACCCAUGACUGAGUUUGGCACGGACAUGACUCUUGCUCUGAGCAAGGGGCCUGAUAAGAUAGUUCCUGGAGGGCUUCUAGGGAAGUUUUCCCAUUGUUUAUGGACCUUGUGAAAUCUGCCUUUGACAUCCAUGAUGUCUUCAUUGAGUUUCUCCAGGUACUCAUAACAUAGUUUAUAUGCGUUGCUAUCAUUACCCAGCUCUGGUACCAUGACUUCAGACUGCUCUGCACCAUUUGAUACUGAAUACAUCACCAAUUAAUUCACCUUUGAUAUUGGAGUCCUGUUUAUCGGGAGUGAAUUGGAAACAGAACAGAGUUCUCAGACUGGUUAUCAGGUUCCCUAUAGCACCUGACAGGGCACAACAGUAAGGCAUGGAGCAUUUCUGACCAGAUGUGACCCAAUUUGCAUUUCUACCCCGUGUUCUCUGACAAAGAAUGAAAGCCUCUGUGUUCUGAAGCUUCUCACCUGGAGUUCGCCUGGAAAAGCCAGUCAGCAGUCUGGAAGAAGCAAGAUAAUGGUCUGUGUUUUAGGAAAUGUCUCUUCCACCCAGCAGUGGUGAAAGGAAGCACUCUGAAGGCCAGACCCUGGUAAUAUACCAUCCACCUGUGUUUGUACAAGGAUGAAUUGAGUGCUGUAAAUGGGUAAAGAAUACUGAGUGUGAGGAAAUAAGGUGUAGGGAGCCUGGUGAACUGUUUUGAUGUCUGGGCCUUUGCAGGAUUGAGGUGUGCAGGUGUUGGGUCGCCUGGGUGGCUCAGUCAGUUAAGUGUCUGACUUUGGCUCAGGUCAUGAUAUUGCGGUUUGUGGGUUUGAGCCCUGUGUCAGGCUCUGUGCUGACAGCUCAGAGCCUGGAGCCUGCUUCGGAUUCUGUGUCUCCUUCUCUCUCUGCCCCUCCCCUGCUCAUGCUCUGUCUCUCUCUCAAAAAUUGAUAAACAUUAAAAAAAAAAAAAAAAAGUGUGCAGGUGUAGAUCUGUAUAUCUCCCACAGCUGUAGUCAACAUAUUUUUUAUGCAUUCCUGUCAUCUCUUAGUGGGCUGGAUACUUUUGGUCAUCACCAUGCGGUCAGGAACUCCAGGACUGUGAGAAAGAACAGCCCAUAGCCUUUUUGUUAAAUGGCUUUAUUGAAGUAUAAUUUACAUAUUAUAGAAUACAUCCAUUAUAAUUGCAUAAUUAAUGAUUUUUAGUAAAAUUAUAGAGUUGUACAACCAUUAUUAUCUCACCCCAUUCCCAUUGCCUCAAAAUGUGCGGUUGGACACUUUUUUUUUUUUUAAGUUUAUUUGUUUAAUUUGAGAGAAGGAGAGAGAGAGCAUGAACCGAGGAAGAGCAGAGAGAGAGAGUAUCCCAAGCAGGCUCCAUGCUGUCAGCAUAGAACCCCAUGUGGGGCUUGAACUCACAAAUCCACGAGAUCAUGACUCGAGCCAAAAUCAAGAGUAGGACACCUAACCAAGUGAGCCACGUAGGUGCCCCUGGACACUUAUAUAGCCAAAACCACUCCCAUCCUCAGCCCCUGGCAACCACUAAUCCAUGUUAUAUCUCUAUACUUUUGCCUUUCCUGAUAUUUGGUAUCAAUGGAAUCAUAUAAUAUAUAUCCCUUUGUGUGUCAUUUCUAUCACUUAGCAUAAUGUUGUUGAGGGUUUUGUUUUUGGUUUUUUGUUGUUUUUUGUUUGUUUGUUUGUUUUUGCUUUUUAAACUUUAUUCUGGGGGUGCCUAACUGGCUUAGUGUGUUCUUGAGGUUUAUUCAUGUUAUGUUAUAUAUCAGUAUUUUAUUCCAUUUUAUUGCUGAAUAAUAUUCCCUUGUAUGGAUAUACCACAUUUUAUUUGUCAUUAAUUGAUAGACAACAGUUCUUGGCCAUUACAAAUAAUGCUGCUAGGCAUAUUUGCUUACAAGUCUUUCUGUAGAUGUAUGUUUUCUUGUUGCUUGGGUAGAUUGUGUAGGGGCUGAGGGCAGGCUGCCCCAAGAUGGGCCGCUUCAGCAUAAAGAUUAUUUUGAGUUAGGGGCGCCUGGGUAGCUCAGUCACUUAAGCGUCCAACUUUUUAUUUCUGCUUGGGUUGUGAUCUCAUAGUUGGGGAAUUCAACUCCCGCAUCAGGUUCUGCACUGGCAGCGCAGGGCCUGCUUGGGAUUCUCUCUCAGCUUCUCUCUCUCUCUCUCUCAAAAUAAAUAAACUUUUUUUUUUAAGUAAUCAAAACCCAGCAGAUGCAGGAAAAGCUCUCUGCCUUUCCCACAACUGUCUAAUUUACAUUGGAAGGAGAGCCUGUAAUAGGAAGAGAGCAAUUAACAGACACUUCCCUUUGCCUAAGGAAUUUAUCUGCCUCAUAGAGCAAACUUGUGUUUCUAAACAUCUUUCACCUUCUUGCUAAAAGCUUUCUCCUUUUCAUAUCCUCAGACCUCUGCCCCUCUCUUCAGCUCAUGUGAGCUUCAUGUGCCCCAUUGUCUUUGAAAUUUCAUGUCUGUGGAUUCCCUGUAUAUGCACUCAUUAAAUAUUAUUUUCUCCUGUUAAUCUGUCUCAUGUCCAUUUGGUUCUAAGUCCAUUUAGAAGGAUUAUAGAGCAGAGGAAGGUCUUUCUGCCUGACAGUUUCUAGGAGUGGAACUGCUGAGUGAAGUUCACUUUAACUCUUUACUGCCAAAUUUUUCCAAAGCGUCUCUACUAUUUUAUAUUCCCACCAGCACUGUAGAACUGUUCCAUUUUCUCCACCUUCCUGCCAAUACUUGGUGUUGCCAUACUAGCGUGAAGUGGUAUCUCAAUGGAUUUUUUAAAAUUGUGGUAAAAUAUACACAAAACUUCUAUUUUUUAAGGGUUAUUUAUUUUGAGAGUGAGAGAAAGUGUGAGUGGGGGAGGGGCAGAGAGAGGAGAGAAUCUCAAGCAGAUUCUGCACUAUCAGUGUGGAGCCCAAUUCGGGGCUCAAACCCACAAAUCUCGAGAUCAUGACCUGAGCUGAUGUUGGACACUUAACUGACUGAGCCACCCAGGUGCCCCUAAAACUUCUAUUUUUAGGUGUAUAGUCCAAUGACAUUAAGUAAACACACAGUUCUACAACUAUCACUCCUAAACAUCUCUCCAACUUUUUCAUUAUUAUAAACUGAAACUCUGUGCCCAUCAAAUAAUAGUCUCAAGGGGAUUUUAAUGUAUAUUCUCCUAAUGAAUAAUGAUGUCAGGCAUCUUUUCUUGUGCUUAUUAACUGUUUAUUUUCUUUGAUAAAAUGUCUACUCAAAUCUUUUUGCUCAUUUUUACUUGGGUUGUCUUUUUUUUUUUUCCUUUCAUUUUUUUGAUGGUUUAUUCAUUUUUCAGAGACAGAGAGACAGAGCAUGAGCAGGGGAGGGGCAGAGAGAGAGGGAGACACAGAAUCUGAAACAGGCUCCAGGCUCUGAGCUGUCAGCACAGAGCCCGACCUGGGGCCCAGACUCACGGACGGCAAGAUCAUGACCUGAGCUGAAGUUGGACUCUUAACCAACUGAGCCACCCAGGUGCCCCUACUUGGGUUGUCUUCUUAUUGAGUUGUUCAAAUUCUUUAUAUAUUCUGUAUUAAGACUCCAUAUAUAUGUACAGGUGUUUCAUCUCGGCCUGUAGCUUGUUUUUGUUUAAUGUUUAUUUAUUUUUGAGAGAGAGAGAAAGAGAGCAUGAGCAGGGGAGGGACAGAGAGAGAGAGGGAGACACAGAAUCCAGAGCAGGCUCCAGGCUCUGAGCUAUCAGCACAGAGCCUGACAUGGGGCUCGAACUCAUGAACCGCAAGAUCAUGACCUGAGCCAAAGUCAAGACACUUAACCAACUGAGCCACCUAGGCGCCCCUUGUUUUAAUUUUCAUAAUGACAUCUUUUGAAGAGCAAUAUUUUAUUUUUAUUUAUUUUUUAAAUGUAAACUCUAUGCCCAACAUGGGGCUUGAAGUCACAACCCUGACAUCAAGAAUAGCAUACUCUACUGACUGAGCCAGCCAGGUGCCCCUUGAAAAGCAAUAUUUUACAUUGUGAUGAAGUCUAAUUUGUUAGUUUUUCCUUUUAUGUUUUGUCUUCUGGUUCAUAUCUAAAAAAUUCUUUGCCUAACUCAGUCAAAAUUUUUCUCCUAUUAGCUUUAUAGUUUUAGCUCUUACAUUUCCAUUUAUGGUCCAUUCUAUGAUAACUUUUUUUUUUAAUUUUUUUUUAACGUUUACUUAUUUUUGAGACAGAGAGAGACAGAGCAUGAACAGGGGAGGGGCAGAGAGAGAGGGAGACACAGAAUCUGAAACAGGCUCCAGGCUCUGAGCGGUGAGCACAGAGCCCGACACGGGGCUCGAACUCACAGACGGUGAGAUCAUGACCUGAGCCGAAGUCAGACGCUCAACCGACCAAGCCACCCAGGCGCCCCUAUGAUAACUUUUUUAAUAUUUAUUUUGAGAGAGAGAGAGAAAAAAAACUCAAGUGGGGGAGGAGCAGAGAGAGAGGAAGAGAGAGAACCCCAAGAAGGCUCCAUGCUGACAGCAUGGGGCUUGAUCCCACACCUGUGAGAUCAUGACCUGAGUUGAAAUCAAAAGACAGACACUUAACUGAGCAACCCAGGCACCCCUCAUAUGUCUUCUUUAGUGAAGUGAGUGUUCAAGUCACCAUUUUUUUAAAAAUUAGGUUGUCUUUUGUAAGUGUUCCUCAUAGGUUCUAGAUUCACAUCCCUUGUUAGGAUUUGUUUUGCAGAUAGUUCUUCCAGUCUAUGGCUUGCAUUUUCAUUUUGUUGAAGUGACUAUUGAGAAGCAAAAGUUUGGGCGCCUGGAUAGCUCAGUUGGUUUAAGCUUCUGACUUUGGCUCAGGUCAUGAUCUCACGGUCGUGGGUUUGAGCCCCAUGUUGGGCUCUGUGCUGACAGCUUGGAGCCUGGAGCCUGCUUCAGAUACUGUGUCUCCCUGUCUCUGUCCCUCCCCUACUCUCAUUCUGUGUUUCUCUCUCUCUCAAAAAUAAACAUUAAAAAAAAAGAAAAGCAAAAGUUAAAAAUUUUUAUUAAGUCCAAUUGAUUUAUCUUUUUCUUCUCAUGCUUUUUGUUAUACUUAAGAAAUACACUAAAUCUGAGGGCUGACCAGAACCUUUUAAUACAAGGACCUUUGCCUAUAGUUCUCGGGCAUUCACUUUCGAAUGUUCCCUUUCUGUAAAGAGAGCUUUCCAAUGAUUCUUCCUUUCUGAUCUUAUCCUCUAAUAAACUUUUGCCUGCUACUAAAAAAAAGAAAAGAAAUCCACCAAAUCCAAGAUCACUAUGUUUUCUUCUAGAUUUUUUAUUGUUAUGAGUUUUAUGCUUACAUCUAUGAUCAAUUUUGAGUUAACUUUUGCAUAUGACUUGAGGUAAGCUUACAGGUUUGUUGUUGUUACAUAUGGCAAUUCAGUUGUUCUAGCACUAUUGGUUGAAAAGAUUACCUUUUUCCUAUUGAAUUGUCUUGGUCUGUUUUGGUACAUGGAACCCUAAAAUCCACUUGGUAUCUGGUUUCAGGCACUGAGUGGAUCUGGGGGCUCAAAUGAUGUCAGAAGGGCUGCUUCUGACCAUCUCUCAAUACUUCCUUCUUCUGUGGCUGGUUCAAAGGACAGCCUUCCUGUAGAGUUAAGAUGAACAUUAGUAGCCCAGUUCAUAGGUGCUCAGAGCCAUGAGGGCUUUGUUUUAGAUGUUCUGGCACAUGCACGUGCAUGCACACACACAGCUCCACAGACACAGACAUGCAUACGCAUACACACACACACACACACACACACACACACACACACACACACAGAGAGAGAGAGUAGGCCAGCUGCCUUGCACAGAGCCCUGAUGGGGAGAGCAAAAGUCAGAUUCAGAUUGGGACUACUUCACCAAAUCAAGGACUCUUUGCCAAAAUACUUCGUUUUACAAGACACACACCUAGGUGACCAUUCAGGAAAAGGGAUUGAGUUCUGAUGACAAAUGUCUGUCCUAUGUUGCUUGCAGGUGUGGGCUCCACAUGGCUCAGCUGAACAUUAACUCUAAUCCCAAGGAGCCCUUCCAUGUUGGCAGGAGGCGGUUGUUACACCCAGGAGGGAGAGCCUGAGCAGACCAAGGAUCCCUGGGUACUUCAUCACGAUGGGGAGACUUUGAGCUCCAUGUAAAUUGGUCCUCUGGGGAGAUCAAACUCUCAGAACCAACAGGCCUUUGUUUGCUAUGUUCUGGCACCACCAGGGAAAUAUUGAGGUUCCAAUAAGUUGGCUGAUGUACAGAGAGCCGUGGUGAGGAGACUAGAAGGCAGGUAAAAGACUUCAUUCAUGCAUUGGGAGCACUGUUAUGAGGUCUAACCAUAGCUAAAACGUGGGUUCAAGGAGUUGAGCUCUUGAUGACCCACGAUCCCUUUGCUUGGAAGCCUGAGGCCUCAAGGUUCAAAUGGGCUUUAUAGUUCUAACCCCAAGCCCCCAUGUUAAUAGAAGGCAAUUAUUGGGGCACCUGGGUGACUCAGUCGGUUGUGUCUGACUCUUGAUUUGGGCUCAGGUCAUGAUCUCUGCAGUUUGUGAGAUUGAGCCCCACAUUUGGCUGUGCGCGGACAGCACAGAGCCUGCUUGGGAUUCUCUCCCACUCUCUCUGCCCCUCCCCUGCUCGCAUAUGCUCUGUCUCUCAAAAUAAAUAAAAUAAAACUUAAACAAGAAAACAGAAGGCAAUUAUUAUACCCAGAAGGUCCAGGAGCGCCAUACCUUGGGAUGUGGGGAGCACUUAGG